This 253-nucleotide ribosomal RNA is filed under the name uncultured bacterium. RNAcentral's name for it is "partial 16S ribosomal RNA". It matches the Rfam family "Bacterial small subunit ribosomal RNA", at positions 524 to 776 of the family's 1533-position model. The record is from RNAcentral.
UACGUAGGGGGCUAGCGUUGUCCGGAAUCAUUGGGCGUAAAGCGCGUGUAGGCGGCCCGGUAAGUCCGCUGUGAAAGUCGGGGGCUCAACCCUCGAAAGCCGGUGGAUACUGUCGGGCUCGAGUACGGAAGAGGCGAGUGGAAUUCCUGGUGUAGCGGUGAAAUGCGCAGAUAUCAGGAGGAACACCGAUUGCGAAGGCAGCUCGCUGGGACGUUACUGACGCUGAGACGCGAAAGCGUGGGGAGCGAACAGG